AUUGAACGCUGGCGGAAUGCUUUACACAUGCAAGUCGAGCGGCAGCGCGGGGGCAACCCUGGCGGCGAGCGGCGAACGGGUGAGUAAUACAUCGGAACGUGUCCUUAAGUGGGGGAUAGCUCGGCGAAAGCCGGAUUAAUACCGCAUAAGCUCUGAGGAGGAAAGCGGGGGCUCCGUAAGGACCUCGCGCUGUUGGAGCGGCCGAUGUCGGAUUAGCUAGUUGGUGGGGUAAAGCCCACCAAGGCGACGAUCCGUAGCUGGUCUGAGAGGAUGAUCAGCCACACUGGAACUGAGACACGGUCCAGACUCCUACGGGAGGCAGCAGUGGGAAUUUUGGACAAUGGGGGCAACCCUGAUCCAGCCAUUCCGC
This 370-nucleotide ribosomal RNA is filed under the name uncultured bacterium. RNAcentral describes it as "bacterial SSU rRNA". It matches the Rfam family "Bacterial small subunit ribosomal RNA", at positions 30 to 400 of the family's 1533-position model. The record is from RNAcentral.